AUUAAGAUGGCAGAUCAGUGCAAAGAGUUUAAGAUUCUUUUAGAGAAAUAGGUUGUAUUUCUUCUUAAUA
RNAcentral lists this transfer RNA (70 nucleotides) under Opisthoteuthis sp. RNAcentral describes it as "tRNA-Leu". Lineage: Eukaryota; Metazoa; Mollusca; Cephalopoda; Octopoda; Opisthoteuthidae. The record is from RNAcentral.